This 72-nucleotide transfer RNA is filed under the name Diaphorina citri (Asian citrus psyllid). It matches the Rfam family "tRNA". Rfam says of the family: Transfer RNA (tRNA) molecules are approximately 80 nucleotides in length. Their secondary structure includes four short double-helical elements and three loops (D, anti-codon, and T loops). The record is from Rfam by way of RNAcentral. Lineage: Eukaryota; Metazoa; Arthropoda; Insecta; Hemiptera; Psyllidae.
GCUCCCAUGGCAUAGUGGUCACUGCACUUGCCUUGCACGCAGGAGACCCGGGUUCGAUUCCAGGCGGGGUCA